Felis catus (domestic cat) is the source of this 1304-nucleotide long non-coding RNA. RefSeq lists it as uncharacterized. NCBI's taxonomy places the organism in Eukaryota, Metazoa, Chordata, Mammalia, Carnivora, Felidae. The record is from RefSeq and is a predicted model, not a curated record. The transcript has 3 exons.
CAACGCACAGCAGAGAUGGUGCCGCAUGCUGAGAAAGAAGAACUCGGAAAAAUGGAACAGAUGGCCUGUUGUCUGUUUCCACUUUGGUCAUGACAGAUGAGCAAUGGAUCCAAUUAUAUGGCUGGAAGGGGAAAGCCAUUGAAGACAUUUGGGAUCUACGGGGCUGGCUGUGGGGCCAUGGAACGGCACCAGGUGCGUGCAGUACUGGCUCAGGGGUAGCCAUGGUAACUACAGACGUGCUCCGAGAAGUCACACCCUGGACCACACAUCACUUGGGGAAGGAAGUGAGGAUGGAGGGGGUCACCACCAAGCCCAGCAGACGGUUCCUGCGGUCUGUGCGGACAAGGAGGAUAAGGACACAUCACCGGCACCACACAAAAGAGAAGGUGGUCCAGCCAUUGGCGGUGCCUUCCAGUGAUGACCAUGCCUGGAAAAUAGAGCUGCUUUAGUGACUGUCCUUCAGGACAGACAUCCUCUUGUCUAGAGUCUCUAGCAUGUGAAGUGACACUCUAGUCUUCAGGGACACGUCUCGACACGGGCCCCAGAAAGAGGCAACAGCUUUCACACGUUUCAAAUUCACUCUUGCAACGGUACAAUUGAAAUUCUUCCUGCCUCUGUACAUUUCAUUUUAAACAGCAAAUGUGAGAAUACAGCACAUGAAGACAAUUUAUGUCAAGAAGUAAAUGCCCACAAGGAUGAAGGAUUGAUGCGUCUGUAACUGGACCUCCGUGCCUUCCCACGUGGCCAUGCCAGGAUGGUGCCUUCCUCCAGGGCAAGAGCAUCUACCUUGAUAGGAUGUAUUUCUUUAUACUCUCCAGAAGCCAUGAGGAGACAGAUCCAUAGUUUUUAAUUCUGACUCCCAAUGAAAGCCGAUAUUGGUGACUGGUAUGACAAUUCUCUAAAUACACUGACUAAAGAAAAGCAAUAUGAUUAAAGAGAAGCAGCAGUCAAUAUUGACUCCAAGAAACUAUAAAUCUUGAUAUUCCAUACAACAAAUAUGUAUGUUUAUUAUUACUCAUUAGAACUGAUGAGCCAGAAUUCAAUGUAUCCAGCAAAGGAACCAGAUUUCUACUUGCCUACAGCAGAUGAUGCCUUACGCCAGGUAAAUAGUAGAAAAAAGCUAAUUUAAUUUUGUCAUCAGGAUUUCCCCACUGAGGAAGGAUAAAUUGAAAACAGACUACUAGGACACUUUCUAAUAUCUGUUUAUAAGAAUCAUUAAAGAGGCCCUACACUCUCUUUUUUAAAAUUUGUUUUUAAUAUUUACUUUUGAGAGAAAGAGAGACAGAGUACAAGUGGGGAAGGGG